Long non-coding RNA from Salvia miltiorrhiza (redroot sage), 1658 nucleotides. RefSeq lists it as uncharacterized. Lineage: Eukaryota; Viridiplantae; Streptophyta; Magnoliopsida; Lamiales; Lamiaceae. The transcript is spliced from 4 exons. The record is from RefSeq and is a predicted model, not a curated record.
UCCAAACUAUUGGAUUAAGGCUCGUCUUAUGAAAUUGGAUUAUUAAUCUUAAUUAAUCCACUCAUCUUAGCGUGUGCUAACUCCCUUACUAAUUAAUAACCUCGUUCUAAAUUAAUCCAUAAUUAGAAACAACUAAAUUCAAUUAAUAGAUUAAUCUAGGCUGUUCUUUAAUCGGCUAAAUAUAAUAAUAAGGCAGCUAAAUUAUUAAAUGAGAGCAACAUAGGGCAGCCGAAUAGAAUAAAAUAGGCUCACUCUAACUCUGGCCCAGCUGAAAUAUAUAGCUCUCAAAUAGGUCAGCCCAUCUCCAUUAAAUCCUGAUCCAUGAACGCAGCCCAACUAGAAUAUGUGCAGAGGCCCAACUUCAUCUCUUAUUCUUUUAAGUAAAACUUGGCCCAAGUAUAGCAGCCCAUUUGGAAUUAGUGCACGCAAAUUUCCUUGAACUCGCGCAGCCUUCAUUCUCCACACUCUUUCUUUCAAUUCCUCUCUCCCCCUUUGAGAAAGCCGCCGCAUCUGGAAGACCGGCGAGGUCGCCGUCACGCCGGUCACCGGCGCUGGUUCCCCGCCACAUCUGCUCUUCUUUCUCUCUUUUCUCUCAAUUCCAAUUCCUUUCUCAUAUCGUGCCCUGGUUUCCCCUUUCGAAAUGAGCCCUAACGCUCUCAUCAAAAUCAUCACUGCUGCUUUCGAUUUCCGGCGAGCAGUGGCCGGCUCGUGUCGUCUGCUCUCUUCUCAGAAGGAUCGUCGCUCACUCUACCUCUUACUCUCUCACCGAAACGCACAGGCGAGUUUCCCCCUUUCGGAAUGAGCCCUAGCUCUCUGCUGAUUCAGGCGGAACCGUUGCUGCCUCUCUUAGAGUCCGUCAGCCGUGCUACCGGCUCCGGCUCCCUGAGUUGCCACCGUCACGGGGUUCCAACGGAUUCUCCCUGAUUCCCGAUGAGUAAUAGGCCCAUGUGGGCUGUCGUUACCAAGCGCCGCUGCACGCCUUCGGAAGUCGAUGUCGGCUCUCAAGUCUCCAUGAAUCGUCGCCUGCUCCUCUGUUGUGUACGCCUCUCUGGAAGCCUCACUGUCGCCGACGGCCACUCCGCCUCGUCAAAACAGGGCAGCCACCGUUCCGACAUUCUCUCCAACUCAGCGUGGAUUUGAUGCGUGUGAAGCAUGUAACGUGGGAGAGAACAUACUGAUAUACAUAUUUUGUUUAGCAAUUUCAGGCUGAACUCAAGAAAGAAAUGGUGAAGGAGUUAGCCACAAUGGUGAAGGAGUUAGCCACUCUUACCUCUCUAAGUCUGCCGGAAGCUGAAUCCAAAUCCUCUCUUAGUGAAGAUGCAUUAAGAAAGAAAAAAAUACGAAUUUUCUAGCUGGAGAUAUAAUGGAAAAGGGUUGUUGGCUACACUUGAGUAUUUUGAAGGGAUGGGCAACGUAGGGUGGCUGAUUGACCCCCUACAUGUACCAAGAGCAUGGCUUGGCUGAAAGUUGGCAGCAGAAGGAGCAUGGCUUGAUCUGAAUUCGUGGCUUUUGCACAGGAAAAAGGAGGGAGGGGCUGCUGUUGUAUGCACGUUACAUUGUUUUCUUUUGACAAGCUUGAUGUAGCUAAUAGAGUAGGUGAAUGUGAUGUACCAAGUAAUGUGAUAAAUUACCACAAUUAAAUCCUUCAGUCUACAUAA